Molecule: ribosomal RNA, 493 nt
Filed under: uncultured bacterium
Lineage: Bacteria
Description: partial 16S ribosomal RNA
Rfam family: Bacterial small subunit ribosomal RNA
Source: RNAcentral
ACGAACGCUGGCGGCGUGCUUAACACAUGCAAGUCGAACGGUGAAGCGCCUUCCUUUUUGGUGGGUGUGGAUGAGUGGCGAACGGGUGAGUAACACGUGAGUAACCUGCCCCCUUCUUCUGGAUAACCGCAUGAAAGUGUGGCUAAUACGGGAUAUUCUGGGUCUGUCGCAUGAUGGGUCUGGGAAAGAUAUUGUUUCGGUGGGGGAUGGGCUCCCGGCCUAUCAGCUUGUUGGUGGGGUGAUGGCCUACCAAGGCGGUGACGGGUAGCCGGCGCGAGAGGGUAGCCGGUCACACUGGGACUGAGACCAGGCCCAGACUCCUACGCGACGCAGCCGUGUAGAAUAUUGCACAGUGGGCGCAAGCCUGAUGCAGCGACGCCGCGUGAGGGAUGGAGGCCUUCGGGUUGUGAACCUCUUUCGCCAGUGAAGCAGGCCUGCCUCGUUUGUGGGUGGGUUGACGGUAGCUGGAUAAGAAGCGCCGGCUAACUACGUG